GAUAUUUCCUGCUCAGUGAUAAACAGCUGUAGUAUUCUGACUAUACAAAGGUAGCAUAAUCAGUUGUCUUUUAAUUGGAGACUGGGAUGAAAGGUAAAACUGAGGGGAUGGUUUUAUAUAUUGAAUUUGAAUUAGAGAUAAAAAUGACUUUAUUAGAUCUUGGGACGAGAAGACCCUAGAAGCUUUAAAUAUCUUUUGGUUGGGGCGACUAGGGAAUAAUUUAACUUUCAUAAGUUACUCUAGGGAUAACAGCGUUAUUGAAUAAAAGAGUCCUUAUUGAAUAUUCAGAUUGCGACCUCGAUGUUGAAUUAAGAGGUGUAGGAGCUUUAGUCUGUUCGACUAAUAGUAGCUUACA
This 355-nucleotide ribosomal RNA is filed under the name Paktongius sp. n. 3 LP-2022a. RNAcentral describes it as "partial large subunit ribosomal RNA". It matches the Rfam family "Bacterial large subunit ribosomal RNA", at positions 1851 to 2600 of the family's 2925-position model. The record is from RNAcentral. Lineage: Eukaryota; Metazoa; Arthropoda; Arachnida; Opiliones; Assamiidae.